GAGAAUAACUAUUCUGCACCCGGUCCAUCCAACGAGCCGGAUUCCACCGCGGACCAGAUGUAACCAGCCGGGCCAGAGCGAGUUACGGUCAUCUAAUUUUUCAUCCGCGUCUCGCUGACGUAAUUUACCACUCUUUCUUUACAACGACGGUUUGUCCGUGGAGGUAAACCCACCUCCCUCGGAUCGUGCGUGCGGCUCGGGAUUUUUCGUUUGGUGGAGUGGGGGUGUGGCUGCGGCGAUCGGCGAUUGGCGAGGAUGAGCGGCGCCGGCGGCAACGGCUCGGGAAGGAGCAGUCGGCGGCGGCGCAAGAGCAGGAGGAGCGGCGCAAGAGCAGGAGGAGCGGCGCGGCGAGAGCAGACACACGGCGUGGCGGCGGCUGGCUACGCGGCUUGCUCAAGCUGGCUCAAGCCUGGGCGCCUGGGCGGCGCCGGCGCCGACGGUUGGGGCGACGUCCACCUCCAUCCCCAUCUCCUCCUCCGCAGGGCAAAGCCUCAUCCGCUUCACCAUGGAGCCGUGAUCCCCUGCGUCAAACAUGCCCCUCGCUAGUCUUCUUCUCUCUCUCGCCGGCGCUCGUGCGUGAGCUGGACACAGAGAUGCUGCUCCUGCUGCCGCCGCCGCUUGGUUCCUUGGUAGCAGCAUCAACUAAAAGGGUGAUCUGUAGACAGCUUUGUUGUUGACGGUGGCGACCAUUGGACUUGUAGCUAGCCGGCAGUUUGGUUACCUUGAGGAAGUAAUCACAGUAACCUGCAAGGAGCCAGAAUUAAUCACCUUCACCUUCUAGGCUUAGUCAACCAACUGCAGUGAAUAAUACUCAGGGAAGUUUGCCAAAGCCUUUCCAACAUUUGAGUGGUGAUUGCAGCAAAGUUGCCUUAUCAGCAGGUAUAACCCCCCUUGAAAUCUCCAAUCAUUUGGCACUGAAAGAUAUUGUGAAUCAGAUGUGGACUUAUGUUUUCUCCCUGAAACUUGUGGAUGCAUUUCACAAGAUCCUGAAAGCUAGCUGGAAUUGGAAAGAAAAGUCCCUUGGUACUAUUUCUAGGCAGUUUAACGAUAUGUUUUCUAUUGCACAGAAGGCUUGAAAAUUAACAGUGGUUUAGUUUCAUGAA
Molecule: long non-coding RNA, 1103 nt
Organism: Brachypodium distachyon (stiff brome)
Lineage: Eukaryota; Viridiplantae; Streptophyta; Magnoliopsida; Poales; Poaceae
Exons: 4
Source: RefSeq, a predicted model, not a curated record